RNAcentral lists this long non-coding RNA (1500 nucleotides) under Androctonus crassicauda. The record is from RNAcentral. Lineage: Eukaryota; Metazoa; Arthropoda; Arachnida; Scorpiones; Buthidae.
AAUAAAACAAUUUACUUUUUGAAAAAAUAUUUGACUUUAAAUUUCCUUAUUUAUGAUUAAAAGUAUGUUUAUAAAUUCCAUUUAGCCAUUCUGCUUUUUAAUCCCUUCAUCUGUAUAUAUUGAAUGCAAAUAUGGGUAAAAUGGAAGAUCUGCAUGUUAAUUGAUACAUGAGAGUAAGGUGCAUGUAUCAAUUCACAUGCAGUGAUUCAGUGAAUGAGAAAGUGCAAUAUGGAGGAUGUAUGAACAAAUUUUAAAAUAUGCUGCAUAUUGCAAAAGCAUGCAUAUGAAAUGAGAAUAGGUAAGAAAGGAAAAUGUUUGAUGGAAUAAUGAGGUAUGAGUGGGUAUGCAAAGGUAAUGAACAAAAACAGGAUGGUAAGAAAGUAAAACAGAAUGAUUUGAAUAAAACAAGUGGAUGGUUUGAAAGCAUGAGAAGUUUGAGGAAGUAAUAAAAUUGAAAUGUCCUGUGUGAAAGAUAAGGAUGGCAGGAUGCUGUUGAAUGAAUCUAAGAUGAUUAAUAGAUGAUUAUUUUUAAUGAAAUUUUUAAACCAGCUAGAAAAAUGAUGAGGAAGAAAAGCAAAUAGAAUCAAUGUAAUGGUUAAAUGUAAACAUGAAAAUGACCAAAUUAGUAUGGAAGAGAUUGUGAAUGUGAUUGGCACAUUGAAGUAUGGUAAGAACUCGUAUAGAUGAGAUCAUGGCUGAGAUGUUGAAAUAUGAUAAAUCACUUUUGUGUAGUGGAUAUGACAUUUAUGUAAAGUUGUGUUGAAUGAAUGGUGUGGUUGUGAAUGACUAUAGUAAAGUUGUGAUUGUUCCAUGUAUAAAAGGAAAAAUGAAACGUGAGCACAUAGUUGAAAUGAUAUUUGAAAAGUUUGUUAUUGAGAUCAAGAAGAGAAUGAUUGGUGACUCUUCAUAUUCUCAAUAACUAUCUGCAGAUGUGGAAUAUGAAUUAGGGUUUCAGGAAUGGUAGAGAAUGUAUGGAUCAGACUUUCAAAGCAAAUGAUUGUAGACAAAUGUUUGUGUGGUGAGAAAGAAGGCAUUUAUACAUUUUAUUAAUCUUCAGACAGUGUACAGCUGAGGCAAUAGAAAUAAGUUGUGGAAGAUAUGUCAGAUCCGAAAAGGACUUUGAAAAAACUCCCAAUCAAAUAAAUAAUAAUUCUAAUAAUUAUUUUAAAUGUUUUUUUGUAAUGCUUUCUACUGAUGUCGUGUGGAACUGUCAUAUUUGUAAUCAGUGUUUACCUUUUAACUCAUAUGUAUAUUUUAUAUUUCAUUAUAUACCAUAUAUAUUCAUGUAUAUGUCCCAAAAAAUUUUUGAAAUGGGAGGUUUGUUUAUAUACAGGUCAAAAAAAUCAAGUUUUUUUGGUUAGAAAAAUUGAAGUAAUAUGCAAAACCAUAACUUAUUGAAUGUCUUCUGAAGAUCAGGGAGAAAAUUUUGCAAUAAUUCAUUUAAUGCAAUACUAGGUAAAAUUUUAUCUUACUCCAAAGUGAUCAUGCUGCUGACUCCAA